GAGUUUGAUCCUGGCUCAGGAUGAACGCUGGCGGCGUGCCUAAUACAUGCAAGUCGAGCGAACGGACGAGAAGCUUGCUUCUCUGAUGUUAGCGGCGGACGGGUGAGUAACACGUGGGUAACCUACCUAUAAGACUGGGAUAACUCCGGGAAACCGGGGCUAAUACCGGAUAACACAUGAAACCGCAUGGUUUCAUGAUGAAAGACGGUCUUGCUGUCACUUAUAGAUGGAUCCGCGCUGCAUUAGCUAGUUGGUAAGGUAACGGCUUACCAAGGCAACGAUGCAUAGCCGACCUGAGAGGGUGAUCGGCCACACUGGAACUGAGACACGGUCCAGACUCCUACGGGGAGGCAGCAGUAGGGAAUCUUCCGCAAUGGGCGAAAGCCUGACGGAGCAACGCCGCGUGAGUGAUGAAGGUCUUCGGAUCGUAAAACUCUGUUAUUAGGGAGAACAUAUGUGUAAGUAACUGUGCACAUCUUGACGGUACCUAAUCAGAAAGCCACGGCUAACUACG
This 514-nucleotide ribosomal RNA is filed under the name uncultured microorganism. RNAcentral's name for it is "bacterial SSU rRNA". It matches the Rfam family "Bacterial small subunit ribosomal RNA", at positions 9 to 505 of the family's 1533-position model. The record is from RNAcentral.